Molecule: long non-coding RNA, 1025 nt
Organism: Phacochoerus africanus (Common warthog)
Lineage: Eukaryota; Metazoa; Chordata; Mammalia; Artiodactyla; Suidae
Exons: 2
Source: RefSeq, a predicted model, not a curated record
UUUUGGCUAAUUGGUGCAUAUUCAGGUAUCACCUUUCACGUGUGGAUCUCUCUCCUGACCACCAUGGGAAGUGUCUGCCAGAUUCCAUUUUCUAAGAGUUUCUGAGGCAAAACUCCAUUUGGAUGAAAGAUGAAUUUGGAUAUUUAUUUCCCCUUUUCUUUGGGAAAUGAGAGGUUACAACCAGGACAGUGAAUCUCGCACGCACACAUGCGCGCACAGACACACGCGCAUCCACGGAAACGCAGGGUCCUCUCUGGGCCGCCAAGGGGAGUCGACGCGGUUGAGAACGAAUGCAGAGGACACCGAAUCUGUCGUUCGUUUUUUCUCUGAAGUGCCUGAAGGUAGGAAUGGGCCAGGGUUGGGGACUGAUCGCCCCCCGCCUCCGCCACGGCCUCGUCAGUCAGCGCGCCAGCGGCCCCGCACCCGGUCCCCGCCAGCCAGGAAGGCCUUCCACGCGGGGUGAUGAGACUGCAAAAAUCCAGAUGUGCUUCCUUCCCCGAAGCGGCCCGCUCCUCGGAGCCCCUCCUUCCCACCCCGUCCUGCACCCCUCGCCCUCCUUCCACCGCAGAAUCUAAGACCUUUCAGCCGCAGCCGAGCCAGGGGCGGGGGAGCCUAAGCAAAUGCCUUCUGCGGACACCGGGCCCCGCCGCCCAAAGGGCUCCCAGGGCAAACUCAUUCCCCGACAAACUUGAACUUGGGGACGCUGCAGCUACACAUUCCACAAAGUGCUGGCACUUACACCCAUAACCCGAAGGCAGUAGACUGCCUCACAGGGUGGUGACCUCCCAUUGCAAACGAAGUCAUGGUUUGGAAUGUUCGUUAUCAGCCAAGGACCUGGUUAGAGGUAUUCAGACCUUUUUUCACCGUUACCUAAUUUUUGUUUCUCCUUUCGGUUUUGUUUUGUUUUGUUUUGGUGUGUUGUACAGCAGUAUAAUUUUUCACUUAUUUAUUCCAUCAGUAGAUAUGGUUUGUACAAUGUACAAUGGUUCCAUUUCAGAAAAUAAAAAAAAAAUUCAAAUCGUGAA